RNAcentral lists this ribosomal RNA (158 nucleotides) under uncultured fungus. RNAcentral's name for it is "5.8S ribosomal RNA". It matches the Rfam family "5.8S ribosomal RNA". From Rfam's summary of the family: 5.8S ribosomal RNA (5.8S rRNA) is a component of the large subunit of the eukaryotic ribosome. It is transcribed by RNA polymerase I as part of the 45S precursor that also contains 18S and 28S rRNA. Lineage: Eukaryota; Fungi. The record is from RNAcentral.
AAACUUUCAGCAACGGAUCUCUUGGCUCAGGCAUCGAUGAAGAACGCAGCGAAAUGCGAUAAGUAAUGUGAAUUGCAGAAUCCAGUGAAUCAUCGAAUCUUUGAAUGCAACUUGCGCCCUCUGGUAUUCCGGAGGGCAUGCCUGUUUGAGUGUCGUGA